This 70-nucleotide transfer RNA is filed under the name Mesocricetus auratus (golden hamster). It matches the Rfam family "tRNA". Rfam says of the family: Transfer RNA (tRNA) molecules are approximately 80 nucleotides in length. The record is from Rfam by way of RNAcentral. Lineage: Eukaryota; Metazoa; Chordata; Mammalia; Rodentia; Cricetidae.
GAGGAUGUAGCUCAGUGGUAGAGUGUUUGCCUAGCCUGUAGGAGAGCCUGGGUUCAAUCCCCAGUACUUG